RNAcentral lists this ribosomal RNA (259 nucleotides) under uncultured Aerococcus sp. Its description in RNAcentral is "partial 16S ribosomal RNA". It matches the Rfam family "Bacterial small subunit ribosomal RNA", at positions 103 to 354 of the family's 1533-position model. Lineage: Bacteria; Bacillati; Bacillota; Bacilli; Lactobacillales; Aerococcaceae. The record is from RNAcentral.
CGGGUGAGUAACACGUAAGGAACCUACCGAUAAGCGGGGGACAACAUCCGGAAACGGGUGCUAAUACCGCAUAGGAAGUUUGUUCGCAUGAACAAACUUAGAAAGAUGGCUCUGCUAUCACUUAUCGAUGGCCUUGCGGUGCAUUAACUAGUUGGCGAGGUAACGGCUCACCAAGGUGAUGAUGCAUAGCCGACCUGAGAGGGUAAUCGGCCACAUUGGGACUGAGACACGGCCCAAACUCCUACGGGAGGCAGCAGGA